AAUUCUCAACCUCUCUGACUUUCACAAGUUAGUUAGGCUUGGAUUAUGGAAGUUGCUGGCUUCUCAGAAAUCAGCUCUUCUUAAAUGUAUUAGCAAAGUCUUUGUUGACUAUCUCUGGUAUGAUAAUUAUCUAUACCAUGGAGAAUCAGCUUUCCGUCAUGGAAGGGUUUUGCUUCUAAUGGUCUACACAGACAACUUGACA
RNAcentral lists this unclassified non-coding RNA (202 nucleotides) under uncultured Entoloma. RNAcentral's name for it is "sequence contains ITS2". The record is from RNAcentral. Lineage: Eukaryota; Fungi; Basidiomycota; Agaricomycetes; Agaricales; Entolomataceae.